CGUCAAAUCAUCAUGCCCCUUAUAUCUUGGGCUACACACGUGCUACAAUGGCUCGAACAAAGUGAAGCGAGACCGCGAGGUUAAGCGAAGCACAAAAAACGAGUCCCAGUUCGGAUUGCUGUCUGCAACUCGAGAGCAUGAAGUUGGAAUCGCUAGUAAUCGCGAAUCAUCAUGUCGCGGUGAAUACGUUCCCGGGCCUU
This 200-nucleotide ribosomal RNA is filed under the name uncultured prokaryote. RNAcentral describes it as "partial 16S ribosomal RNA". It matches the Rfam family "Bacterial small subunit ribosomal RNA", at positions 1183 to 1382 of the family's 1533-position model. The record is from RNAcentral.